AAGAAAAUCCGUCUGAUCGCAGAAUAUCAACAACACUAGCUGCUGAUGAAGCUGAAGCCAACACUAGAACAGACACCACCUGCAAUACAAAAAUGACUAAAGAGAUGACGAUCAUGAUCAUGACGAAGAAGAAGAAGGAGAAGAAGGAGAAAUAAAAGUGAGACAAGUUGCUAGUGUUUCUGGUUCGCACGUUGUUUGUGAGUGUUACGAAUGGUGGAAAAGAGAAGACUGUUCAUGUUGAAAGAGUUGUGGUCUGUAUUCAUCAGACAAAGCAGAGCAAAUGUCGGAGAAAACUGUUUUAUGCAACACUUUUUAUUCCUUCCUUCUUCGUUUCUUAAUUCCUACUUUUUGAAUUUUAUUU
Long non-coding RNA from Capsella rubella, 361 nucleotides. RefSeq lists it as uncharacterized. The record is from RefSeq and is a predicted model, not a curated record. Lineage: Eukaryota; Viridiplantae; Streptophyta; Magnoliopsida; Brassicales; Brassicaceae. The transcript has 2 exons.